Molecule: ribosomal RNA, 255 nt
Filed under: uncultured bacterium
Lineage: Bacteria
Description: partial 16S ribosomal RNA
Rfam family: Bacterial small subunit ribosomal RNA
Source: RNAcentral
GACGUAGGUGGCGAACGUUAUCCGGAAUUAUUGGGCGUAAAGGAUGCGUAGAUGGUGUAGUAAGUUAUCGGUGGCAAAUCGAGGCUCAACCUCGUGGAAGUCGGUAAUACUGCUAUACUAGAGGAUAGGAGAGGUUAACGGAACUCCCUGUGGAGCGGUGAAAUGCGUAGAUAUAGGGAAGAACACCAAUCAGGCGAAGGCAGUUAACUAUUCUAUUCCUGACAUUGAGGCAUGAAAGCGUGGGGAGCAAAACGG